AGCUUGCUGUAUUCGUGCUGAGAUUUCGUCACACACCAGACCACAAGGGCUGAUGAGAUUUCACUCCCUAUCACUAGUU
RNAcentral lists this microRNA precursor (79 nucleotides) under Schistosoma haematobium. RNAcentral describes it as "mir-3492 microRNA precursor family". It matches the Rfam family "mir-3492 microRNA precursor family". Lineage: Eukaryota; Metazoa; Platyhelminthes; Trematoda; Strigeidida; Schistosomatidae. The record is from Rfam by way of RNAcentral.